CCUACGGGGUGCAGCAGUGGGGGAUAUUGCACAAUGGGGGGAACCCUGAUGCAGCGACGCCGCGUGGGUGAAGGAGUGCUUCGGCAUGUAAAGCCCUAUCGGCAGGGAAGAAGCAAGACGGUACCUGACUAAGAAGCCCCGGCUAACUACGUGCCAGCAGCCGCGGUAAUACGUAGGGGGCGAGCGUUAUCCGGAUUCACUGGGUGUAAAGGGAGCGUAGACGGCCAUGCAAGCCAGGGGUGAAAGCCCGGGGCCCAACCCCGGGACUGCCCUUGGAACUGUGCGGCUAGAGUGCGGGAGGGGCAGGCGGAAGUCCUGGUGUAGCGGUGAAAUGCGUAGAUAUCAGGAGGAACACCGGCGGCGAAGGCGGCCUGCUGGACUGCGACUGACGUUGAGGCUCGAAAGCGUGGGGAGCGAACAGGAUUAGAUACCCGAGUAGUC
This 441-nucleotide ribosomal RNA is filed under the name uncultured bacterium. Its description in RNAcentral is "partial 16S ribosomal RNA". It matches the Rfam family "Bacterial small subunit ribosomal RNA", at positions 338 to 795 of the family's 1533-position model. The record is from RNAcentral.